RNAcentral lists this ribosomal RNA (250 nucleotides) under uncultured prokaryote. RNAcentral describes it as "partial 16S ribosomal RNA". It matches the Rfam family "Bacterial small subunit ribosomal RNA", at positions 524 to 773 of the family's 1533-position model. The record is from RNAcentral.
UACGGAAGGUCCUGGCGUUAUCCGGAUUUAUUGGGUUUAAAGGGAGCGCAGGCGGGGGAUUAAGCGUGACGUGAAAUGCCGCGGCUCAACCGUGGAAGUGCGUCGCGAACUGGUUUCCUUGAGUGAGUACGACGCCGGCGGAAUUCGUGGUGUAUCGGUGAAAUGCUUAGAUAUCACGAAGAACCCCGAUUGCGAAGGCAGCCGGCGAGGCCUUAACUGACGCUAAAGCUCGAAGGUGCGGGUAUCGAAC